UACGUAGGGUGCGAGCGUUGUCCGGAAUUACUGGGCGUAAAGAGCUCGUAGGUGGUUUGUCGCGUUGUUCGUGAAAUUCCCUGGCUUAACUGGGGGCGUGCGGGCGAUACGGGCAGACUGGAGUACUGCAGGGGAGACUGGAAUUCCUGGUGUAGCGGUGAAAUGCGCAGAUAUCAGGAGGAACACCGGUGGCGAAGGCGGGUCUCUGGGCCGAUAUUGACGCUGAGGAGCGAAAGCGUGGGGAGCAAACACG
This 253-nucleotide ribosomal RNA is filed under the name uncultured bacterium. Its description in RNAcentral is "partial 16S ribosomal RNA". It matches the Rfam family "Bacterial small subunit ribosomal RNA", at positions 524 to 776 of the family's 1533-position model. The record is from RNAcentral.